GGGGUUGUGGCUCAAAGGAAGAGCGGUCACCUAGCACGUGAGAGGCCCUGGGUUUGAUCCUCAGCACCACUU
This 72-nucleotide transfer RNA is filed under the name Marmota monax (woodchuck). It matches the Rfam family "tRNA". From Rfam's summary of the family: Transfer RNA (tRNA) molecules are approximately 80 nucleotides in length. Their secondary structure includes four short double-helical elements and three loops (D, anti-codon, and T loops). Further hydrogen bonds mediate the characteristic L-shaped molecular structure. tRNAs have two regions of fundamental functional importance: the anti-codon, which is responsible for specific mRNA codon recognition, and the 3' end, to which the tRNAs corresponding amino acid is attached (by aminoacyl-tRNA synthetases). tRNAs cope with the degeneracy of the genetic code in two manners: having more than one tRNA (with a specific anti-codon) for a particular amino acid; and 'wobble' base-pairing, i.e. permitting non-standard base-pairing at the 3rd anti-codon position. Lineage: Eukaryota; Metazoa; Chordata; Mammalia; Rodentia; Sciuridae. The record is from Rfam by way of RNAcentral.